Molecule: ribosomal RNA, 497 nt
Filed under: uncultured bacterium
Lineage: Bacteria
Description: partial 16S ribosomal RNA
Rfam family: Bacterial small subunit ribosomal RNA
Source: RNAcentral
GAUGAACGCUGGCGGCGUGCCUAAUACAUGCAAGUCGAGCGAACGGACGAGAAGCUUGCUUCUCUGACGUUAGCGGCGGACGGGUGUGUAACACGUGGAUAAUCUACCUAUAAGACUGGGAUAACUUCGGGAAACCGGCGCUUAUACCGGAUAAUAUUUUGCACCGCAUGGUUCAAAAGUGAAAGACGGUCUUUCUGUCACUUCUAGAUGGAUCCGCGCUGCAUUAGCUAGUUGGUACGGUAAAGGCUUACCAAGGCAACGAUGCAUAGCCGACGUGAUAGGGGGAUCGGCCACACUAGAACUGGGACAGGGACCAGGGUCCUACGGGAGGCAGCAGUAGGGAAUCGUCCGCAGUGGGCGAAAGCCUGGCGGAACAACGCCGCGUGAGUGAUGAAAGUCUUCGGAUCGUAAAACUCUGUUAUGAGGGAUGAACAUAUGUGUAAGUAGCUGUACACAUCGUGACGGUACCUAAUCAGAAAGCCACGGCUAACUACGUG